This is an RNA transcript of Clupea harengus (Atlantic herring), 1150 nucleotides long. It is a transcript of the gene named collagen alpha-1(XII) chain-like, with no coding region annotated. The record is from RefSeq and is a predicted model, not a curated record. Lineage: Eukaryota; Metazoa; Chordata; Actinopteri; Clupeiformes; Clupeidae. The transcript has 5 exons.
CUUAACACCUUUCCUAUGUUCUAUUAACAGAGAACAUCUUUUUUUCAAGCUAUUAACUCAGGAUGGCCUAGAGAGCAGGGCCCUCCUGGACCAAUUGGAGAGAUGGGGAAGCCUGGCCCAUUUGUAAGUGCAGUCUUUACAAACUAAAGUACAUGUAGUACAUGUAAACCCAGGUUAGUGUUGGUUGAAAUAUUUAUUCCUAUAUUGUGUGUGUGUGCACUUGAAUAAGGGCAUUCCAGGAGACCCGGGAGAGAGGGGGAUACCUGGACGCAGAGGCGACAUGGGCAGCUUUGGGCCUAAGGGAGUGUCUGGACGAGCAGGGAAAUGGGGGAGAGAUGGACAGCCUGGGCCUGAUGGAACUCCAGGACCUCCAGGAUUACAUGGCUUAAAGGGUCCCAGGGGUGACAAAGGAGAGUGUGCCCCUACUGGAGAGACGGGGGAAGAGGGUUUCCCUGGUGCUCCAGGCCCUCGUGGCAAUAUAGGGAGAGAAGGAGAGAAGGUAACUGAUCAUGUAGUUCUCAGUACGAGUGAAUUUAAGAGAUAUGUUUAAAAACACACAUGCACUCUCCAAGGGGGUCAUGCAUUACCAAGUCUGAAAUAUAUCGCCCCCAUGUGGAAAGAAAUGGAACAUAAAAAGUUGUGAAUGGGAUUGUGUCCAAUCUUUGUCUUUUCAUGUACUUAGUAUGGCUAUGGCUGUUUGUAUCUGAUGCAAUUUACCAUUUGCAUUAAUACUUACAUUGUAAGUAUCAAAUAUUGGCAUAGUAAUACCAUACUAGUUGAAAAAACUGGGUUACAUUUGAGAAGAAUGUGAUGCAUAUAUACUUCUGUGUUGAGAAGAAAUGUUCCACAUAGUGUAUUGCACUGUUGUAUUUCCUUGACUCUUUACCCUUUCAUCAGGGACUGAAAAUGAAAACAUGAAGUGGUGAGUAUUUUUGAGCUAUGCUGUUUUGUUUUCCAGGGCUCCACAGGAGAACCAGGGUUACCAGGACCACUUGGUCCGCCUGUAAGUACAGCAGUAAUACACAGAUGUGUCAAAAAAGUGUAAACAACAGGUACUCAUCUACAGGUACUUCGUACUUGAUUAAUUAAUGAGUACAUCUAUCUGUAUGUAUAGUUACUAGAUGAACAUGAUUUAGGGUUAGUAAAAUGU